CGCCUCUUGCCCCCCAAUAUAAGAGGUCCAGCCUGCCCAGUGACUCUGUUCAACGGCCGCGGUAUCCUAACCGUGCAAAGGUAGCGUAAUCACUUGUUCUUUAAAUAAGGACUAGUAUGAAAGGCAUCACGAGGGCUAAACUGUCUCCUCUCUCUAAUCAGUGAAACUAGUCUCCCCGUGAAAAAACGGGGAUAUUUUUAUAAGACGAGAAGACCCUAUGGAGCUUUAAAUUUCUCAUCACCUGCACCCCCCCCCCUAUCAAUUUCAGAAAACAAACUCAUACCCGCACCAUGAUUGAAAAUUUUAGGUUGGGGCGACCACGGAGAAAAGCCAACCCUCCACGUUGUAAGGGGAAAUCCCCCCAAACAAGAAGUAACAACUUUAUGUAUCAGUAAAAUUGACAUCCAUUGACCCAUUAUUUGAUCAACGAACCAAGUUACCCUAGGGAUAACAGCGCUAUCCACUUUGAGAGCUCCUAUCGACAAGUGGGCUUACGACCUCGAUGUUGGAUCAGGGUGUCCAAGUGGUGCAGCCGCUACUUAAGGUUCGUUUGUUCAACGAUUAAAACCCU
RNAcentral lists this ribosomal RNA (571 nucleotides) under Lynchius simmonsi (Simmons' big-headed frog). Its description in RNAcentral is "partial 16S ribosomal RNA". It matches the Rfam family "Bacterial large subunit ribosomal RNA", at positions 1816 to 2597 of the family's 2925-position model. The record is from RNAcentral. Lineage: Eukaryota; Metazoa; Chordata; Amphibia; Anura; Strabomantidae.